UAAUCAUGGAGAGUUUGAUCCUGGCUCAGAACGAACGCUGGCGGCGCGUCUUAAGCAUGCAAGUCGAGCGGUAAGAUUGGUGCUUGCACUAAUCCUAGAGCGGCGGACUGGUGAGUAACGCGUGGGUGACGUACCUUUGUGACGGGGACAGCUCCUAGAAAUAGGAGAUAAUACCGGAUACGCUGCAUGUUG
Molecule: ribosomal RNA, 192 nt
Filed under: Treponema bryantii
Lineage: Bacteria; Pseudomonadati; Spirochaetota; Spirochaetia; Treponematales; Treponemataceae
Description: 16S rRNA. Bacterial SSU
Rfam family: Bacterial small subunit ribosomal RNA
Source: RNAcentral